This 319-nucleotide small nuclear RNA is filed under the name Erinaceus europaeus (western European hedgehog). RNAcentral describes it as "7SK RNA". It matches the Rfam family "7SK RNA". From Rfam's summary of the family: 7SK was discovered as an abundant small nuclear RNA in the mid-70s but a possible function has only recently been suggested. Two independent studies have found that 7SK RNA binds the CDK9/cyclin T complex (known as elongation factor P-TEFb). P-TEFb activates transcription by phosphorylating the C-terminal domain of RNA polymerase II. The record is from Rfam by way of RNAcentral. Lineage: Eukaryota; Metazoa; Chordata; Mammalia; Eulipotyphla; Erinaceidae.
GGAUGUGGGGGUGAUCUGACUGUCCCCCCCCCAUUGAUCUCCAAGGUUAAUUCAGGUGAUCUGGCUGGCCAGGCAGGGCCCCUGGUCCCUCCCUUACUGCUCCAUCUGUGUCCCUCCAGAAGCUGCAAAUUUGGUUGAAAGGGACGACCUUCCCCGAAGAGACGGACUGGUCUUGAGUCGGGGGUACACAAGCAGCUGCGCUCCCUUACUAGAGCCUCCAAACUCGCAAGGUCCAUUUGUAGGAGAAUGUAGGCUAGUCAACCCUCCAAGACUACAGACACAUCCAGAUGAAGUGUUUCACAUGGCAGUCUGCCUUUAU